GUGAGUCAUCGAGUCUUUGAACGCAUCUUGCGCUCCUUGGUAUUCCGAGGAGCAUGCCUGUUUGAGUGUCGUGAAAUACUCUCAAUUUCAAUCUAUUUGUUUGAAAUUGGAUCUGGGUGUUGUUGUGAGAUCACAACUCAUCCUAAAUGCAUUAGCGAUCUGCCUUUGAUCACACACAAUGUGAUAAGAAAAAGCAUUGUUUAAGAUCAUGAUCGAGAUUGCUUCUAACUGUCGAAAGACAAGCAUAUACACAUGUCAUUUGACCUCAAAUCAGGUAGGACUACCCGCUGAACUUAAGCAUAUCAAUAAGCGGAGG
RNAcentral lists this ribosomal RNA (316 nucleotides) under uncultured fungus. RNAcentral's name for it is "eukaryotic LSU rRNA". The stretch from base 1 to 71 matches the Rfam family "5.8S ribosomal RNA", at positions 84 to 154 of the family's 154-position model. The record is from RNAcentral. Lineage: Eukaryota; Fungi.